RNAcentral lists this ribosomal RNA (253 nucleotides) under uncultured bacterium. RNAcentral describes it as "partial 16S ribosomal RNA". It matches the Rfam family "Bacterial small subunit ribosomal RNA", at positions 524 to 776 of the family's 1533-position model. The record is from RNAcentral.
UACGUAGGGGGCAAGCGUUGUCCGGAUUUAUUGGGCGGAAAGAGCGUGUAGGCGGCCAGGUAGGUCGGUUGUGAAAUCCCGAGGCUCAACCUCGGGCCUGCAGUCGAUACGGGCAAACUAGAGUGUGGUAGGGGAGACUGGAAUUCCUGGUGUAGCGGUGAAAUGCGCAGAUAUCAGGAGGAACACCGGCGGCGAAGGCGGGUCUCUGGGCCAUAACUGACGCUGAGGAUCGAAAGCGUGGGGAGCGAACAGG